AAUGAAAUUUCUGAAGGACGCGUUCCGAGUACGCUGGAUGAAUUGCCUCUUUGAAUUGUCAAACUCACCCUUUGUCGAAAGAAAUAGAGUGAUCUGGAUUCGCCAGUCACGUUGACCAUUCUUCUGCCCAAAUCAAGUGAAAAAUCUCUGGCUUCGUUUGACCAACCAUCAAAACAAUCCACUGCGAAGGCCACAAACCA
This is a long non-coding RNA of Bradysia coprophila, 200 nucleotides long. The record is from RefSeq and is a predicted model, not a curated record. NCBI's taxonomy places the organism in Eukaryota, Metazoa, Arthropoda, Insecta, Diptera, Sciaridae.